This 403-nucleotide ribosomal RNA is filed under the name uncultured bacterium. Its description in RNAcentral is "bacterial SSU rRNA". It matches the Rfam family "Bacterial small subunit ribosomal RNA", at positions 357 to 774 of the family's 1533-position model. The record is from RNAcentral.
GGGGAUAUUGGACAAUGGGGGGAACCCUGAUCCAGCGACGCCGCGUGAGUGAAGAAGUAUUUCGGUAUGUAAAGCUCUGUCAGCAGGGAAGAAAGCAAUGACGGUACCUGACCAAGAAGCCCCGGCUAACUACGUGCCAGCAGCCGCGGUAAUACGUAGGGGGCAAGCGUUAUCCGGAAUUACGGGGUGUAAAGGGAGCGUAGGCGGCUGUGCAAGUCUGGAGUGAAAGGCGGGGGCCCAACCCCCGGACUGCUCUGGAAACUGUAUGGCUGGAGUGCAGGAGAGGUAAGCGGAAUUCCUAGUGUAGCGGUGAAAUGCGUAGAUAUUAGGAGGAACACCAGUGGCGAAGGCGGCUUACUGGACUGUAACUGACGUUGAGGCUCGAAAGCGUGGGGAGCAGACA